RNAcentral lists this ribosomal RNA (498 nucleotides) under uncultured bacterium. Its description in RNAcentral is "partial 16S ribosomal RNA". It matches the Rfam family "Bacterial small subunit ribosomal RNA", at positions 28 to 507 of the family's 1533-position model. The record is from RNAcentral.
GACGAACGCUGGCGGCGUGCCUAAUACAUGCAAGUCGAGCGGACGAAUCGAAAGCUUGCUUUUGUUUCGUUAGCGGCGGACGGGUGAGUAACACGUGGGCAACCUGCCUUGUAGACGGGGAUAACACCGAGAAAUCGGUGCUAAUACCGGAUAACACGAAAUGUCGCAUGACGUUUCGUUGAAAGACGGCGCAAGCUGUCGCUACAGGAUGGGCCCGCGCGGCAUUAGCUAGUUGGUGAGGUAACGGCUCACCAAGGCGACGAUGCGUAGCCGACCUGAGAGGGUGAUCGGCCACACUGGAACUGAGACACGGUCCAGACUCCUACGGGAGGCAGCAGUAGGGAAUCUUCCGCAAUGGACGAAAGUCUGACGGAGCAACGCCGCGUGAGCGAAGAAGGCCUUCGGGUCGUAAAGCUCUGUUGUUAGGGAAGAACAAGUAACGCAGUAACUGGCGUUACCGUGACGGUACCUAACGAGAAAGCCACGGCUAACUACGUG